CGCGGAGCGGCUGGGCCCGUGAGCCAUGGCCGCUGAGCCUGCGCGUCCGGAGCCUGUGCUCCGCAGCGGGAGAGGCCACAGCAGUGGGAGGCCCGCGUACCGCAAAAAAAUAAAAACAGGACACUAACCACAGGUCAGCCCCACUGUACACUGCAUGCACCGUACCCACCUCGUGUUUGUUUGCGCCGUUAUAUUUCUAUAAGCAAUGCUCGUUCACCAAAUGGUCGCUACACACGUCUAAAACAGAGCUAAAUAUAAACUUAAUAUGUAUUAUUAUAAAACUAAAUGUGAAAACCAUGGUGGUGCAUAGAAAGGAAGCUGAGAUGAAAGUGAGCUGGCGAGGGGUGGGGGCACUUUUGGGUUAUUUCAGUGGAGCGGGGUUGAAAGUGCCAGGGAGGCCUGAAUGGUAACACGUGUGUCCCAAGCGUCCCGGCUUGCUCCCAGUGUAAGCGCUCACCUAGUGCUGACAGUUUGGAGCAUUUCUCCCUGCAGAGUUCCCUCUUGUUCCUUGGUCUUUGAUUUCCACAGAUCUUCAGAAGUUACACAUCAAUGUGAAGUCUUUGUAUAUAUUUGGAACUGAAUAAUCCGCUGUUGAAGUCGUCAGAUCCUGAUGUUUACGAUGUCUCUGCAGUUGGUUCCCUGGUUCUUGGGGGCGUACAUGACUUUUUUAUGGGGUGAGGACACUUUUUCCCCAAGGUUCUGGAAUUCAUGCUGCUCCCGCCUGGGGCUUCCAGAAGCCCCUGCAGUUACCUGAGCGUAUGUAGGUGCUGGACAGAAAUGCCCCCAGGGGUGAGCGGUUUGGGGCGAUGGGUGUGACCAGGAGCUAGGGGACCGGGCGCAGUGUCCCUCUGACACAGACUCCUCUACCUACGUCUCCCCUCACUCACUCUCCCCCCCUACAGUCUGCUUGCCCUAUAAUUAACACAGACACUGCUGCCUCUGUUUUCUUACAGGUAGCGUUAAUCAUUCACCAAGUAUGUAUUCAGGCACACACCAAAGUGCUCAGAGGUGGGAAAUGUCGUUAGUGCCUCCAGGCUAGAUUUUAUUAAGUGCUUUCAGUGUUCUGGGCACCGCUCUAAGCAUCUCUCAUGGGUGGUUCUGUUUAACCCUCAAAACUACCUAAUGAAGCAGGCACUCUUAUUAUCUCCUUUUAACAUGAGAAAAAUGAGACCCUGAGACACCAAAGAAAUUGAUGCAAGCUAGCAAGUGUUGGAGCCAGAAAUCGAAACCCAGCUGAGCCCACCAAUACGAUCCCACACAUGCUACCGGCCAAGCAGGUAGAAAGAGGAAGCUAAUGAUGACAAAACCCCCAGAGCAAGGGUGCGAGCUGACACCCACUGAGAAAUUUGGGGCGUUUGGGCAUGAGUGAGGUCAGAAGGCAGCAGCCUCUUUGGAGUGAUGGUAACAUCAAGCACGAGAGAAGCGCUGGCCCCCUCGGACUCCCAGGCAGUGACCUGAUAAGGAUGUGGCCCCCUGUGGAGACCAAGCCAGGCCAGGGACACAGGUGAGCAGUCAGUGAAGAGGAACCAUUCUCGGCUCUGCCCAUUGCAGGUUACUCUGAUUGUCUUCUAGUCCAGUCCACCCAAGGGCUCUGGGGCAGCCUCUUCAGGAGAACGUGAUAUCACCUGAAAGAAAGAGCAGGUUCAGUGACAGACCUGGUCCACCAGAAGCUUGAGGGAAACUGAGAGGAGAGCUUCGUUCUGCUUUGUGCCCCAAUGAUGGAGUGGAAGGCAGGUGGGGAGGUCUUUGCUCCAGGUAAUAGGAACAGCUGUCAGAGCUAAACAGAGGCGUGGUCCCAUCCAGUGGAAGAGGGGGAGUAUCAGGGUGAACCUCACGGAACUGCCAUUGAGGUAGGUCAAAAACAGAAGAGUAUUGACAAUUUCACUUGUUAAUUCUAAUUCAGCUCAGCCGCCAGCAGAGCAUCAGCUGUGGCUGAGAAGAGGGUAUAUUAACACAGUGGAUGGGUAAGUGCAGGGAGCGGGGAGAAGCCAGCGUGGGGGAGGGCAGAGGUCAGAGGUCAGAUAAGGCCUGAGAUAUUCAAGAGAGCCCUUGAGCCCAGAGAAAGGAGCUUGCUGUGGCCGAAACAUUUCCCUGCGCGGGAGCUGGAGGACAAGACCAGCGUCCUAUGAAUAUCGUCCGAAUCCUGUUCUGAGCUGACCUGACCUGGGGAUGAGCAUUACGCGACACACAGUAAGCUGGUAUUGCUCGUAAAACAUGUUUUAGAGGGUAAAGAAUAUAGGCUGCCUGAAGUCCUGUCGGUGUGUAGACGCUCCGUGAGAGGAAGCUGCUACCUGAAUGUUCUACCUCAGGAGGGCUGAGCUGGAGCCUGAGACUCUAACAAGCUCCAGGUGAUGUCCCGCUGCUGAUCCGUGGACCACACUUCGCGAAGUGAAGAUGUCUUUGCAGCUUGGUAUGGCCACAGGAUCAAAUUCUGGUCAAAGAGGUAGAAGUGGAAGUAUGACAUGGAACUUCCAGAAAGGAUUUCUUGAAAGGAAUCAAAUCAGUCCUUAGCAGGCUGUGUAGUGGUCAGAUCCGGCCUGAAUCCAUUCCGCACCCAAGGAGCUUGGGAGAGAUUUGCUUACCCCAAAGAUGCUCCCCUUCUGGAAUCUACUGGACUUUGCAAAUUUGUUUAUUAUCUUACUUAACAGAAGACAGCCAGACUCUCAUAUCUCAUACCUGCUUCUGCUUUGAAUCUGUUGCCAUGUGUUGUUUUGGUUGAACUGUAUGAAGAGAAUCUGGUCUCACACAGAUGUGUAGUUGGAAAAUACAGAAGUAUUUUAAAAACUUUUCAGGUACAAUGGUGGUGGCUCUUUGGUAAGUGAAUGGCUGUCUGCUGUGAACAGUUUUUCACGUGUGAAGGAGGAAUCUGGGUUGAGACAAAUCAUCCAAGGAAGAACCAUGUGGAAUCAGAUUCAUGGCUCUGUGCGCUGCUGUUACACUGACGUUGGUCAGUGUUUUACCCCAUGGGCAGAGGACUUUAGCAACAACAUGUAUGUGUGAAAAUUCUUUCACGUACACAGUGAAAGCUCUGUUCUCUCCCCCAGAGACUUUGUGUGUGUGUGUGUCUAUAUAGAAGUGUUACUCAUAUUACAUUGCCUUGUGUCCACAUAGAUGUAUGUAUACAUACCACAUUUGUUUCUGUGUCUUGUGUGUGUUUACCUGUUACAUGUAUAAGCAGCAGUGACAAUGAAAAUCAUUUAUCCUUGGACUCAAGAAGAUGAGGUUAACAUUAAAAGCACAUGGAGAGAGAUCAUUUCCUUUUCUUCCUGUAUUCUAAAAAUAAUUUUAUGAACAGGCAAUAUUAUGAACAUGAUAAAAAAAUUUAUUAAUUAGCAUGAAUUAAAGUGAAAAAUAGGUCUCCCAUCCUCUGCCCCAGACAUGAUUAUUACCAGUUUUUAAGUCUUCUUCAAGAGGUAUUCUAUAUAUUUAAAAAAGAGUAUGCACACACAUACCCCUUUAAAAAAAAAAAAUGUGUUCUUUUAAACUAAUGGAAGGUUAAAACAGGAAAAUCACAUAGCUUCAUUUCCAGCCCCUUGUGUGUAAGCACAGACUCCAGCACACAUAUUUGUGUCUAUGAUUUACACAUGUGUAGGUUUUGUGCUGGAGGAAAAAUUCUUUGUUAUAAGGAAACUUCUGGAACCUAGAAAACUUACUUCCUUCCCAGUUCAUCUGGUUAUUAAUCUUCCUAAAAGUGCAAGACAAAUAAAAUCCCCAUAUCUGAGAACUUUGUGGUAUCCCAGAGGCAGGAGAGAAUCAUUCCCAUGGAAUUGUCUUCACUUUCUGAUUUGUCAUCAGUUCUUAGGAGCAAUCCAGUAAGGGUUUAUUUAGUACAGCUCUCUGUUGAUUUUAUAACCAACUGCUGACUGCUUGGGACAUAAAACUCUUGAUGAUUUACAAGUAGUGAGUGGGAAAGAAAUCCAUAAAUCACAUUCAAUAAUAAGAAGGUGUAGGUGAACACACACACACACACACACACACACACACACACACACACACACACCUUCAAAGGAAGAGUUGUAGGCAUGACCAGAAAAUAUAUUCGUUUUUAAUAUGAAAAUUGAGAACUCAUUGGUAAGAGGCCCACAGUCAAUAACCUCAGAGAGUUUAAUAGUACCAGGUGGUAUUUUAAUGUAGAGCAAGAGGUUUUAUUUCUUAGAGAGAAGACGCUGGUUCCCACUUUUGAAAUGUUCAAAGGAGUUUUUAUGGUCUCUGGAGUAAAAACCUUUUUUUUUUUUUUCCUAAAAACUUUCACCAACCAAGCCAGGAAUACUGAUGGUUAUCAGUUUUCUGAUAUUAUUGAAACUCUUGAAACUAUUAUGCAACAAAUAUUUCUCAAACACUCAAAGAUUUUUUUAAUGUAAUUUUUUUCUAGGACUGUGCUUAGAAAAAUCUCUAAUAAUAUGCUAAAAGUAGAAAAAAAUAAGUUUCUAAUUCCAGGAGAGUCCUAGAGUUUCAGGGAACUGCCAGGGAAAUAUAAAGCAAAAAACCUUGAAAAACAUUUUUUUGGGGAAAGUGAAAUUUAAUAAAUAUGAUUCUGCUACCGUGAAUAGUUUGCGAACUCUCUGCCUCCAAAAUAUAGUAUAAUAUAGACAGAAAUUAAGGAUCCAUUUAUCCAAAAGCCAAUCUCAUUUGGAUCCUGAUUCAAACAAAACAAAGAAGUAAAAAAUUAAGCAGAAUAGAGAAAACUGAAGACAUUGAAUAAUGACGAAAUAUUUGAAGACAUUAAGGAGUUAUUAUAAAUUUGGGGGGUGUAAUAAUGGUGUUGUAUUUUUUGGAGUUUUUAUCUUUUAAAGAUACACAAUGAAAUGUUUUAGGAUGAAAUGACUUGAUGGUUUGGAUUUGCUUUUUAAAAAUCCAGGUGGGGGAUUGUGGGUGGGAGGAUAAAAGAUGUAAGAUUGGCCAUGAGUUGAGGGUGGGUAAUGGCUACAUAGGGUUUCAUAUACUAUUCUCUCUAAUCUUGUACUUGUUUGAAAUUUUACAUAAUGAGAAAAAAAAAAGAGCUAAGUUGAACUAGAGUGGUUGUUAGCUAUUUGAAAAGUUCUUCGUUUAUUCAUUUCACAUUUGUUAUUCACCAGGAACCAAGCAUCCGUAGAGGGCUUUGCGUGAGGCCCUUGGUGACUGUCAAGGGGUGUAAGCGGCAGUCUGCCGACAGUGCCUGCUUGUGACAGGUGGGGACACUACUGAGAGCUAGGCUGCCCGCCCCCUUCUCUCGGUUGGUAAGAAGGUGUCUAUCCCACGACCACUGUGAGGCACUUCCGUUUUGGGGGAGAAACACCAGCCCCCUGGGGGUGUGGACCUUCAGCUCAGCCCCACACCACUGACCCGAUAGUAAACAAGGCCAAAGACGAACCCCAGAGGGCCGAAGCUGAAAACAGCCACCCAAGGCCAGCUCAUCACAAACAAGUGUUUUGUUUUUACACUGUACACCCCACCCCCCCCAAAAAGUGGGGGGAGCACUUAAAGGGCUGUUUUGGAGCAGAGCCACUUGCUGCAUUUGAAACUUAGACCCGUGCCUGGUUCAGUGGAGCGAAAGGGAAAACGAUUGCCAUCCCUGCAGGGUACCUACCUCUCAGGGCCCUGCAGAGGGCGUGGCCAGACCCACACUGCAGGAGAGAUCAGCCCAAGAGGAGAAAGAAGUCUAAGAGCUUUGUGAAAGUUUCUUCCCUUUGGUGCCUGGGCCUCAUUACCCAGGCUUGGAGGGUCCGUUCCUGUCCUAUCAAGGUUGGCAGCGGUCAUCAGUGCCUCCAGACCAGAGGCCCAACCCAAACUGGCUCCCGAGAGAUGUGAACAUUUAGUUCUCAAGACACCCGUCCCCUUUGAUUAACAAGACCUUUUUGGCUUUGUUCUGAAUGAUGUGUAGAUUGCCAGAGCAUGCCCAGCCAUGGCACCCCGGUGAAGACUGAAGGUAGAGGAGAGGGAUGUCUCCUGGUGCUCCGGUCACUGACAUCUGGACUUUCCCAGCAAGCAUCAGGGCCAGUCCUGAAACGGGAGCAGAAAGCACAAAAUGCAUUACAGCCCACAGCACCGCUCUCAGAACCAAUGCCACCAUCCUGGCAACGGGCCACACGGAGAUCUGCAGUCUCCCACCACCUUCCUUACAGACCAAACACAGACAUAGACCGUGACUGCCACAGCUGGAAGGGGAGCAUCGCCAAGGCACACAUCCUACCUGUCAUUUCCACCGUCCACGGAGGAAAGAUGGCAAUCAGGAUGAAUGUCACCCCCACUGACAGCAGGAUGGGCCCAAGGAGCUGGGUCCAUUCAAAGUGGGAGGCUCCUUGGUGUUUGAUCCAGCCCAUGAUGGUGAACGUGAUCCCCACCAGUCCCAGGAAGAUGCCUGAGAAGAGCAAGGUGGCCCCCGCCUUGUCGUCAUCCGACACCUGGAUGUCAGCAGUACUGGGAAUCUCUAGUUGUGAUGACACUUAAACUUUCAUAGCAACUCUCACAAAGCUCUGAGGUCCUGCUCUUUCCUGGCCAGCUCCAAGUGCCUUUGCUUUCAGCAUUUGGGGAACAAUUCCAGCUGUGGGAGAGGAAAGACACCCUAGAGGCCUUUCCAUGCACCACGUCACUGGCAGAGCAUCAGGACAAGGCUGGUGAUCUUCAACUUCACUGCCAAACAGAAGGGAAAGCAAGCAGGUGACCCCCUCAGCUACAUCCACUUGCAAUUACGACAACUGGGAACACUGAAAGAGCAGGGGAGAGAGAGCACCUUCCUCUAAACAGCUCAUGAAUCCAAAACUGGAAUGGCUUUCAGAGCAGACUGGAGCAGAAAUCGUUAAGCCUGGAAUAGAGUCCAGAUGUGCCUCUGUAUGAAGUUUUGGUGAUAAAGUGUGUCACUUGGGGGAGCAUAAGGCACCCUCCACCCCACGUCCCACCCUGACCUCCCAGCCCUCACCAGCCAAGCCUGGCGAGAUCUUGCCCAGUUUGCUGAGGGGCCAGAAGGGUGAAGGCCUUGUGGAGCCAGAAGCCUGGGAGAGAGGAGAGGCCCUCUUUCCUCUGAGGGGAUCUCUGCUUUUGUCAGUCUUCUGGGUAGUUCUCCAUGGCGUUGAUGUAGAAGACAAGCCAGAGGCCACCCAGUGUGAAUCGCUGCUGCCCGAAAUGGAAUCUGGUCUCCAGGCGUCGGCAGGCAGUGACACGAGGGGCUGAUACCCACAGCUGCUCCCCACCUGCACCCUCUUCCCAGGCAACACAUGGUGCCCGGAGCCUCACUGCCACCAAGAGAGCGGCUCAGCCUGUGAGUCACUGAUCUGCUAAUAGCCUCCAAUAGCCACAGGAACUCUCCGGGCAGGACGCCAACCGGGUCCUCGGCCCGGGAAGGAGAAGCGAGAGCUUGCAGGUAUCUGCCCUCUUUGAGUUGGAUCUCCGGCCGAGGUCUUAAGCAGCUGCCUUCCUUUUCUGUGCCUGGUGAAGCAUGAGCCAGAGCCAGGGAACUCCUCUGCCUGCCUCCCCUAGGAAAAUGCCCACCAGCCUCAGGGAGAGAUGGAGAAACUGAGGCUCAUAAAGAUGAAUUAUUUGGCUCUGGGGUUUUAUUGCCACUCAAUGGCAGAAACCAGUUACAGUUUUAACUAGAAACGUUGAUCAUUGCUGGCCCAACUCAUAACCCCUCCUCAGAGAAGCUACCCCACACUGCUGAAAGACAGUGGCCCUGCUGGACACCAGAUGACCCAGGUCUCCUUCUCUUAAGGUGAACAUUUGAUCCAAGGGCAACCCUUCCCUAGAUAGAGGGAAGGGCGGCCAACCAUCAUGCUUUGCCUGGUCUGAAGGGGUUCCCAGGACACAAAACUUUCAGUGCUAAAACCAGAAAAUUCCUAGGCCAACUAGGACAAGUUGGUCAUCCUAGCAAGAAGGGACUUACGACCUGUGUAGCCAAGUUCAAAACAAUAGCAUGGGAAAUCAGAUUCUCAGUUAGAAACUGGGAAACUAAAAAUUGAUGCCAGUGGCUGAAAUAGAAGCGCCAUGACAUAGACAGAGGGCAAGGAGAGUUGAAGAGCUGCAUAUUGGUCACGUGUAAACAGAACUUAAGAGCAGAAACUGAGUAAGUAGAGGACACUGAUUAUAUUUGAGGAAAACUGACUUUCAGUAGCUUUUUCCUUAAAAACCACCGUGGCCAAUUUCAGAUCCUUGCAGAGUCUUUCCAGAUGCUUCUGUUUGCUGCUGCUUCUGCUUUCACUGCCAAGCAGAAGACUACAGCAGAUGACUCUUCUGUAUAAAAGCCAAUUCUCUCCAGACCACUGCUGCUUAUCUUCCACACUAAAAAGAGACAAGCAAAAUCCAGCACACUUAGAAAUUUCAACUUGGGAAACCCAAGUGACUUCCUGAUUCCUGCCUCAUAUCUUAUGGAGCUCACGAAGCUCUUAAUUAGCCAAAGCUGGCGCAACAGACUUUCUCCCAAAGAUAGCUACGAUAGCAUUUCCCAUUUCUCGUUCUCUUCUUACAUUGCUACUUGGACACUACUCUUAUGAAGAGAUGGCGUCUAUGUCCCCUGCCCUUGACACUGAUGGGCUUUUGUGACCAUCUCAUAGCGUACGGCGGAAGCAACACCAUGUGACCUCCAAGGCUAGGUCAUCAGACACAACUUCCACAUUGUUCAGUGGUGCUUUCGCUCUGGAAGCCUUUAGUCGCCAUGGGAGCUGUCUGAUUGCCCAGGGGCAGCAGUGCCGUGAGGAAGCCUAAGUUGUUCCACGUAGAGAAACCACACACAGAGGUCCUGAGACUACAUGAGGAGAGCGACCAAUGCCCGGUCAGCCCCCAGCUGCUUCAUCCCUUCUCUCUUCCAGCUCCACCUAGCAUGUAAUUACAACUACAUGAGACACCCUGAGCUGGAAGUGACAGGCCGACCCACUACUUCCUUUCUGACCCAGAGACCCAUAGUUUAUAAGAGAUAAUAAAGUGACUGUUGUUACUUUAAGCCCCUAAGUUUGGGGAUGAUUUGUUUACAGCAAUAGAUACCAGGAUCAGCUGACCUUGAAGAAGUAAUAAAACCUGUGGCCUGAUCUCUCCUCAGAACCGCACCUGCCACAGCAGGACCAGAAGAACCUAACUAAAUGCAGUAGGUAGCCCCAUACCAAGCUAGGAAUCUGACUCCACAUUUACAUGAACGACAGAUCAGGUAGUGGCCAAUCUUUUAGAAAUAAUUAUUCAUUUUACCAAAUGAUUCACAAUAACAUCCUUUGUAUGUGCAAGUAUUUCAAAUAAGUUAAAGACAACUUUCUUUACAAAAAUUGAUCUAGACUCAACUUUUUGGGAACAUGUCAGUAUGUGCUGAAUUCUCAUACAUGGCCCGCCACCAGCAGUUUAAAGCAGCUGUGUCUUCUAGGCACCAGACCCCAGGCAGCCAGCCCUGAUGCUGGCAGACACAUAAAGAGCAUACAGACAGGAGACAAAACACAGGACUGUAAGAACAGGCGAAGGAGCAGAGCCUCUUGGAGGAUGAAAUAGAGUGGGGUCGGUAGGGCUGCACAUUUUUCCUUUAACCAAGGAAAUUUCAAGUUUCAGCUGAGCACAUAAUCGUCUGGUUAGAGAAUACAUUCAGUUCCAUCUGCCUCCCAGCAGGUGUAGCCAUGUGACUAAUUUCUGGCUAAAGGAGGUGAGUGGAAGUGAUCUAUGCCAAGUUAGGAUCAUGCCCGUGAAAGAAACAGGCGAAGUUCUGGAGCUGGAUAGCGGUGAUGGUUGCACAAAAGUGUGAAUGUACUUAACGCCACUGAACUGUGCACUUAAAAAUGAUCAUUUCGGGCUUCCCUGGUGGCGCAGUG
Molecule: non-coding RNA, 9752 nt
Organism: Delphinapterus leucas (beluga whale)
Lineage: Eukaryota; Metazoa; Chordata; Mammalia; Artiodactyla; Monodontidae
Source: RefSeq, a predicted model, not a curated record